RNAcentral lists this long non-coding RNA (382 nucleotides) under Trifolium pratense (red clover). RNAcentral describes it as "long non-coding RNA (TPRA_LNC002973)". Lineage: Eukaryota; Viridiplantae; Streptophyta; Magnoliopsida; Fabales; Fabaceae. The record is from RNAcentral.
AGUCAGUAAAAUAAUACUUUGAAAAAAUAGUAGCGAGUGUGGUUGAAAUUAAAGUCAUUCUUUACUUGGAACCCAUGCAGAACCUCGAUCGCAAAAGCUCUUCGUCACUGGCUGAACCACCCAGACGUAAACCCUUUCAAUCUCUCUAAUCCUCUUUUUGUUUUUCUCAUUUUCAUGUAAUAAUGUAACAACGCUUUUGUAUGCCAUUCUAGGGUUUCGAAUUGAUCAGGGACCAUUGAAACGUUCUCUAUUGGAUUUUACAAAUUUAUCCAUCUCUGAUGACAGUGGUAUAUGUUAUGCUGUUUUUUUUUUUUUUUACUUUUAUUACUAUCUUUGAAACAAAACACUGACACCAGACACUACACUGACACGUCAAUACCGA